AUUAACGCGAAGAACCUUACCAGGUCUUGACAUCCGCUGACAAUCUUGGAGACAAGACGUUCCCUUCGGGGACAGCGUGACAGGUGGUGCAUGGUUGUCGUCAGCUCGUGUCGUGAGAUGUUGGGUUAAGUCCCGCAACGAGCGCAACCCUUGAUUCUAGUUGCCAGCAUUAAGUUGGGCACUCUAGAGUGACUGCCGGUGACAAACCGGAGGAAGGUGGGGAUGACGUCAAAUCAUCAUGCCCCUUAUGACCUGGGCUACACACGCGCUACAAUGGAUGGUACAAAGGGCAGCAAAGUCGCGAGGCUAAGCAAAUCCCAUAAAACCAUUCUCAGUUCGGAUUGCAGGCUGCAACUCGCCUGCAUGAAGCCGGAAUCGCUAGUAAUCGCGGAUCAGCAUGCCGCAGUGAAUACGUUCCCGGGCCUUGUACACACCGAAU
Molecule: ribosomal RNA, 439 nt
Filed under: uncultured bacterium
Lineage: Bacteria
Description: bacterial SSU rRNA
Rfam family: Bacterial small subunit ribosomal RNA
Source: RNAcentral